Molecule: long non-coding RNA, 1558 nt
Filed under: Felis catus (domestic cat)
Lineage: Eukaryota; Metazoa; Chordata; Mammalia; Carnivora; Felidae
Description: lncRNA (ENSFCAG00000050635.1)
Source: RNAcentral
GUGGUCUCUAAGUAGGCCCAGCUUUGUUUGGUUCCUAGAGCAACUGAGCCUCAGAUAGACCUUUCCUUUCUGAAUAUUGUAAUAGUAUUAAAUGGGAAGCUCUAGGAGCAAACAAUAAUAGCAAGUGCAAGCUUCCAAUGUAAUGAUGUACAUUAUAUUUUAAUAUUUGGAUGAAGCUAAUGAUGUUUAAGCUUGCCAAAGUGGUAAGGCAUUUCACCAUAUGAAUGGAUUGUUUAUUCCCUACUGUUAUGUUAGGUACACAAGAGGUCAUCUUUUUCAGCAUUCAUUAACAUUAAUAUUAAAACUCUGAGUUCCUCUAAAAAAAAUCCCUAAUUGAAUGGAAAAGGUGCUUCGCAUUUCAAAAGAUCGUGUCAGGAACUGUAACUGGUCACGUUAUUCAUGAGUUUAGGAUUUUAUGAGCCAAAUAAUGAAAUUCCAAGCUCUUAUUAUGAGAGAAUACUAUUCUACAACCAUUUAGAGAUCAUGUCAUGGUUUUCCUAUAGCAUCAGCUCCUGAGACACUUUACACUAUUGACAGAAAUAUGAAAUGUUUCUUUGCAUAACAUAGACUAAGGGUAUUAUAACUUUUUUCCCCAUUUUAUUCAAGAAAGCAGUGGUGGAAUAUCUUUUUUUCCCCCCUGAAUAAUAUGCUCUGCAAUGCAAGUUUCAUCGUCUCCACACCUUGUUCGUGGCAUAACUGGGCACUAAAAGUGAAAAGUGACAUGGAAUCUGAAAAUUUCAGCUAUUUUGAAAGGAAUCCCAAGAAAGAGUGAGUAACAAGUAAUCAUUGCAUACGUUUUUCUAUGUUGCCUUUUUUGAGAUUUCUCUAACAAAGAUUUCUUAAUCUCAACACUUGACAUUUUGGUCUGGAUAAUCCUUGUUGUAAGGAUGGAUGUUCUGGGCAUUGUAGGAUGUAUCCUGGCAUCUGUUCACUAAAUGGCAAUAGCACCUCUCUCUCCAGUGUGACAAGCAAUGUCUCUAGAUAUUGCCAAGUGUUUCCUGUACUCAGGAUGAAGGUGUGGGCAGUUUGAGAGAAUUACCCUGGUUUGAGAACGACUACUGCAACACAAAAAGACAAGUUUCCUCAGGCUUCUGGCUGGUUUAUUCUAGACCUAGGUUAUUUAUAUAUCUAUUUAUUUAACUAUGAGGGAACCUCAUAGUUUUUAUCUAAUUAGGGUUAUGCUAUGAAGCUAUUAUCAUAGGAAUGGCAAUUGAGACUGUUAAUGCCCAGUUCACAUUCAUAGAGUACCUUCAUCCUGGAUACAUUACAAAAUAUUUAAAGCUGAAUACCCAUCAAUAGGAGAGCAGCCAAAACUGUCAUAUGGAAAGGGAAUGCAAUUACCCGAAGUGUAUUUCCAGAAGUCAGAACUAUGACCAGUAGUGCUAAUUACAGAGAUAUAUUUUGAUUGGUGAUAAGGAAGAUGGUUGUAAUGAUAGGCAGUGUCUAAAAAUGAAACAAGCAGCCAUUUCAGUAGAGUCAAUCUAUUCAAACAUUCUUAGGGAAACAUUUCAGGAAUAUUGAAGAGGGAAUUAAAGCACUGGUUGGAUCUGAGAUGUCU